RNAcentral lists this ribosomal RNA (224 nucleotides) under uncultured bacterium. Its description in RNAcentral is "partial 16S ribosomal RNA". It matches the Rfam family "Bacterial small subunit ribosomal RNA", at positions 28 to 240 of the family's 1533-position model. The record is from RNAcentral.
GACGAACGCUGGCGGCGUGCUUAACACAUGCAAGUGGAGCGACGAACCGGGGCUUGCCCCGGGGCAGAGCCGCGAACGGGUGAGUAACACGUGGGUAACCCACCCCGAUGACCGGGACAACCCGAACGGAAACGUACGGGCUAAUAACCGGAUGUGCUCCUUGACCUCGAGGUCAAGGCGUAAAGAUAGCUUCGGCCUUCGCAUCGGGACGGGCCCGCCGGCCA